GCCAGCCCGCUCAAGAAACUUAAAGGAAGUUGACGGGGCCCGCACAAGCGGUGAGCAUGUGGUUUAAUUCGAUGAUACGCGAGGAACCUUACCUGGGCUCAAAUGUAUGUUGACGUAUUCUGAAAGGGAUACUUCUUCGGACAAUAUACAAGGUGCUGCAUGGUUGUCGUCAGCUCGUGCCGUGAGGUGUCGGGUUAAGUCCCAUAACGAGCGCAACCCCUAUCAUUAGUUGCCAUCAGGUCAAGCUGGGGACUCUAAUGAAACUGCCUACGCAAGUAGUGAGGAAGGUGGGGAUGACGUCAAAUCAGCACGGCCCUUACGUCCAGGGCUACACACGUGCUACAAUGGCCGGUACAAAGGGCAGCUACCUGGUGACAGGAUGCUAAUCUCAAAAGCCGGUCUCAGUUCGGAUCGGAGUCUGCAACCCGACUCCGUGAAGCUGGAAUCGCUAGUAAUCGCGCAUCAGCCAUGGCGCGGUGAAUACGUUCCCGGGCCUU
RNAcentral lists this ribosomal RNA (497 nucleotides) under uncultured Sphingobacteriales bacterium. RNAcentral's name for it is "bacterial SSU rRNA". It matches the Rfam family "Bacterial small subunit ribosomal RNA", at positions 903 to 1382 of the family's 1533-position model. The record is from RNAcentral. Lineage: Bacteria; Pseudomonadati; Bacteroidota; Sphingobacteriia; Sphingobacteriales.